GGCUGUAGCUCAGUGGUAGAGUGCUUGCCUAGCAUGUGUGAGGAACUGGGUUCAAUCCUCAGCACCA
This 67-nucleotide transfer RNA is filed under the name Marmota monax (woodchuck). RNAcentral describes it as "tRNA.Ala". The record is from RNAcentral. Lineage: Eukaryota; Metazoa; Chordata; Mammalia; Rodentia; Sciuridae.